RNAcentral lists this ribosomal RNA (490 nucleotides) under uncultured bacterium. RNAcentral's name for it is "partial 16S ribosomal RNA". It matches the Rfam family "Bacterial small subunit ribosomal RNA", at positions 30 to 507 of the family's 1533-position model. The record is from RNAcentral.
AUUGAACGCUGGCGGCAGGCCUAACACAUGCAAGUCGAACGGUAACGGGAAGAACCUUGCUUCUUUGCUUACGAGUGGCGGGCGUGUGAGUAAUGUCUGUGAAACUGCCUGAUGGAGGGGGAUAACUACUGGAAACGGUAGCUAAUACCGCAUAACGUCUCAAGACCAAAAAGUGGGACCUUCAGGCCUCUUGCCAUCGGAUUUGCCCAGAUGGGAUUAGCUAUUAGGUGGGGUAACGGCUCACCUAGGCGACGAUCCCUAGCUGGUCUGAGAGGAUGACCAGCCACACUGGAACUGAGACACGGUCCAGACUCCUACGGGAGGCAGCAGUGGGGAAUAUUGCACAAUGGGCGAAAGCCUGAUGCAGCAAUGCCGCGUGUAUGAAGAAGGCCUUCGGGUUGUAAAGUACUUUCAGCGGGGAGGAAGGGAGUAAAGUUAAUACAUUUGCUCAUUGACGUUACCCGAAGAAGAAGCCCCGGCUAACUCCGUG